Molecule: ribosomal RNA, 440 nt
Filed under: uncultured bacterium
Lineage: Bacteria
Description: partial 16S ribosomal RNA
Rfam family: Bacterial small subunit ribosomal RNA
Source: RNAcentral
CCUACGGGUGGCAGCAGUGGGGAAUAUUGCACAAUGGGGGAAACCCUGAUGCAGCGACGCCGCGUGAGUGAAGAAGUAUCUCGGUACGUAAACCCCUAUCAGCAGGGAAGAAAAUGACGGUAUCUGACUAAUAAGCCCCGGCUAACUACGUGCCAGCAGCCGCGGUAAUACGGAGGGGGCAAGCGUUAUCCGGAUUCACUGGGCGUAAAGAGAGCGUAGACGGGAGUGCAAGUCUGGAGUGAAAUCCCGUGGCUUAACCACGGAACUGCAUUGGAAACUGUGCGGCUGGAGUGUGGGAGAGGUAGGCGGAAUUCCUGGUGUAGGGGUGAAAUGCGUAGAUAUUAAGAGGAACACCCAUUGCGAAGGCGACUUACUGGACUAUAACUGACGUUGAGGCUCGAAAGCGUGGGGAGCAAACAGGAUUAGAUACCCUGGUAGUC